This 468-nucleotide ribosomal RNA is filed under the name uncultured bacterium. Its description in RNAcentral is "partial 16S ribosomal RNA". It matches the Rfam family "Bacterial small subunit ribosomal RNA", at positions 28 to 507 of the family's 1533-position model. The record is from RNAcentral.
GACGAACGCUGGCGGCGUGCUUAACACAUGCAGGUCGAACGGAAAGGCCCUGCUUUUGUGGGGUGCUCGAGUGGCGAACGGGUGAGUAACACGUGAGUAGCCUGCCCUUGACUUUGGGAUAACUUCAGGAAACUGGGGCUAAUACCGGAUAGGAGCUCCUGCUGCAUGGUGGGGGUUGGAAAGUUUCGGCGGUUGGGGAUGGACUCGCGGCUUAUCAGCUUGUUGGUGGGGUAGUGGCUUACCAAGGCUUUGACGGGUAGCCGGCCUGAGAGGGUGACCGGCCACAUUGGGACUGAGAUACGGCCCAGACUCCUACGGGAGGCAGCAGUGGGGAAUAUUGCACAAUGGGCGGAAGCCUGAUGCAGCAACGCCGCGUGCGGGAUGACGGCCUUCGGGUUGUAAACCGCUUUCGCCUGUGACGAAGCGUGAGUGACGGUAAUGGGUAAAGAAGCACCGGCUAACUACGUG